GAUGAACGCUGGCGGCGUGCCUAAUACAUGCAAGUCGAGCGAACGGACGAGAAGCUUGCUUCUCUGAUGUUAGCGGCGGACGGGUGAGUAACACGUGGAUAACCUACCUAUAAGACUGGGAUAACUUCGGGAAACCGGAGCUAAUACCGGAUAAUAUUUUGAACCGCAUGGUUCAAAAGUGAAAGACGGUCUUGCUGUCACUUAUAGAUGGAUCCGCGCUGCAUUAGCUAGUUGGUAAGGUAACGGCUUACCAAGGCAACGAUGCAUAGCCGACCUGAGAGGGUGAUCGGCCACACUGGAACUGAGACACGGUCCAGACUCCUACGGGAGGCAGCAGUAGGGAAUCUUCCGCAAUGGGCGAAAGCCUGACGGAGCAACGCCGCGUGAGUGAUGAAGGUCUUCGGAUCGUAAAACUCUGUUAUUAGGGAAGAACAUAUGUGUAAGUAACUGUGCACAUCUUGACGGUACCCUAUCAGAAAGCCACGGCUAACUACGUGCCAGCAGCCGCGGUAAUACGUAGGUGGCAAGCGUUAUCCCGGAUUAUUGGGCGUAAAGCGCGCGUAGGCGGUUUUUUAGUCUGAUGUGAAAGCCCACGGCUCAACCGUGGAGGGUCAUUGGAAACUGGAAAACUUGAGUGCAGAAGAGGAAAGUGGAAUUCCAUGUGUAGCGGUGAAAUGCUCAGAGAUAUGGAGGAACACCAGUGGCGAAGGCGACUUUCUGGUCUGUAACUGACGCUGAUGUGCGAAAGCGUGGGGAUCAAACAGGAUUAGAUACCCUGGUAGUCCACGCCGUAAACGAUGAGUGCUAAGUGUUAGGGGGUUUCCGCCCCUUAGUGCUGCAGCUAACGCAUUAAGCACUCCGCCUGGGGAGUACGACCGCAAGGUUGAAACUCAAAGGAAUUGACGGGGACCCGCACAAGCGGUGGAGCAUGUGGUUUAAUUCGAAGCAACGCGAAGAACCUUACCAAAUCUUGACAUCCUUUGACAACUCUAGAGAUAGAGCCUUCCCCUUCGGGGGACAAAGUGACAGGUGGUGCAUGGUUGUCGUCAGCUCGUGUCGUGAGAUGUUGGGUUAAGUCCCGCAACGAGCGCAACCCUUAAGCUUAGUUGCCAUCAUUAAGUUGGGCACUCUAAGUUGACUGCCGGUGACAAACCGGAGGAAGGUGGGGAUGACGUCAAAUCAUCAUGCCCCUUAUGAUUUGGGCUACACACGUGCUACAAUGGACAAUACAAAGGGCAGCGAAACCGCGAGGUCAAGCAAAUCCCAUAAAGUUGUUCUCAGUUCGGAUUGUAGUCUGCAACUCGACUACAUGAAGCUGGAAUCGCUAGUAAUCGUAGAUCAGCAUGCUACGGUGAAUACGUUCCCGGGUCU
Molecule: ribosomal RNA, 1371 nt
Filed under: uncultured bacterium
Lineage: Bacteria
Description: bacterial SSU rRNA
Rfam family: Bacterial small subunit ribosomal RNA
Source: RNAcentral